AGUGAACGCUGGCGGUAGGCCUAACACAUGCCAGUCGAACGGCAGCACAGUAAGAGCUUGCUCUUACGGGUGGCGAGUGGCGGACGGGUGAGGAAUACAUCGGAAUCUACUUUUUCGUGGGGGAUAACGUAGGGAAACUUACGCUAAUACCGCAUACGACCUACGGGUGAAAGCAGGGGAUCUUCGGACCUUGCGCGAUUGAAUGAGCCGAUGUCGGAUUAGCUAGUUGGCGGGGUAAAGGCCCACCAAGGCGACGAUCCGUAGCUGGUCUGAGAGGAUGAUCAGCCACACUGGAACUGAGACACGGUCCAGACUCCUACGGGAGGCAGCAGUGGGGAAUAUUGGACAAUGGGCGCAAGCCUGAUCCAGCUAUACCGCGUGGGUGAAGAAGGCCUUCGGGUUGUAAAGCCCUUCUGUUGGGAAAGAAAAGCAGCAGGUUAAUACCCCGCUGUUCUGACGGUACCCAAAGAAUAAGCACCGGCUAACUUCGUG
Molecule: ribosomal RNA, 492 nt
Filed under: uncultured bacterium
Lineage: Bacteria
Description: partial 16S ribosomal RNA
Rfam family: Bacterial small subunit ribosomal RNA
Source: RNAcentral